ACUGCGCCUAUGGACAGCGAUUACGCAAACGCCACAGUUCUUGAGAAAAUCAAAAACCUAGUCGCGACUUUUCGCCGCAGGAAGAGCAACAAAACGAGCUCGCGAUUUCUCUCUCUAAACAUAAAGGGAAACGAUAAAUUUUAUCAAACCCCGUAAGAUUUCGCCCACUACCUAGCUAAAGAAGUCUCAACGCGUAAGGGUUUUAUCUAAAGACGUUUUCCGAAAAAAAAUUGGAAAAAUAAAACUUUCUCUCCCCAAAACCGUGCAAAAACCCUAGGUUAAUCGAGGAAAAAGGGAGCACAACAAAUCGGGUACAUAACUCACCCAUGUACAUCUUCCGAAUAUCUUUCGGAAAAACCCUAGAUUAAUCGGGGAAAAAGGAAGCACAGCAAAUAGGAUGCAUAACUCAUCGCUGUUCUUCUUCCGAAUAUCUUUCGGGAAAACCCUAGAUUACUCGCGGAAAAAGGAAGCACAACAAAUAGGUUACACAAUCCCCCACGGUUGUACUUCUUCCAAAUAACUUUCGUAAAAUUAAGCUUAAACAAAAUUUUAUGAAACAGCUUUCCUAAAACAAAGCUCAUGACAUUUUGCGGACUAACUAUCAUAAAAUUAAAGCUCGACAACUUUUUCCGAAACAGCUUUUGUAAAAUUAAACUCGACAAUGUUUUAUGGAACAUCGUUCGCAAAGUGAAACAAGU
RNAcentral lists this long non-coding RNA (698 nucleotides) under Brassica napus (rape). RNAcentral describes it as "long non-coding RNA (BNAP_LNC024153)". Lineage: Eukaryota; Viridiplantae; Streptophyta; Magnoliopsida; Brassicales; Brassicaceae. The record is from RNAcentral.